UGAGGAAUAUUGGUCAAUGGACGAGAGUCUGAACCAGCCAAGUAGCGUGCAGGAUGACGGCCCUAUGGGUUGUAAACUGCUUUUGUUUGGGAAUAAUCGACAUUACGUGUAAUGUUUUGCAUGUACCAUUCGAAUAAGGACCGGCUAAUUCCGUGCCAGCAGCCGCGGUAAUACGGAAGGUCCAGGCGUUAUCCGGAUUUAUUGGGUUUAAAGGGAGUGUAGGCGGUUGGUUAAGCGUGUUGUGAAAUGUAGAUGCUCAACAUCUGACUUGCAGCGCGAACUGGCUGACUUGAGUACACACAACGUAGGCGGAAUUCAUGGUGUAGCGGUGGAAUGCUUAGAUAUCAUGAAGAACUCCGAUUGCGAAGGCAGCUUACAGGAGUGUUACUGACGCUUAAGCUCGAAGGUGCGGGUAUCGAACAGG
This 424-nucleotide ribosomal RNA is filed under the name Verrucomicrobiota bacterium. RNAcentral describes it as "Verrucomicrobia bacterium partial 16S ribosomal RNA". It matches the Rfam family "Bacterial small subunit ribosomal RNA", at positions 355 to 776 of the family's 1533-position model. Lineage: Bacteria; Pseudomonadati; Verrucomicrobiota. The record is from RNAcentral.